GAGUUAGCAGUUUAGAGUAGAAAAGGCAUUUUUCUUCACAACAUACUCAAAGGUCAGAUAUAACAUAAUUCUGAGGUUAGUUUUAACAAAUUCAAAAGGGACUCGUCCAUGAAGAUAACAAGUUCUCCAUCACUUUUUAUAGGUUGAAAGGGAAUUUGGCAUAUUGUUCGCAGUAACUGUUGGUUAUUUGCUUACCUGAAAAAAG
This 205-nucleotide unclassified non-coding RNA is filed under the name Hevea brasiliensis (rubber tree). Lineage: Eukaryota; Viridiplantae; Streptophyta; Magnoliopsida; Malpighiales; Euphorbiaceae. The record is from RNAcentral.